RNAcentral lists this ribosomal RNA (270 nucleotides) under uncultured soil bacterium. Its description in RNAcentral is "partial 16S ribosomal RNA". It matches the Rfam family "Bacterial small subunit ribosomal RNA", at positions 26 to 282 of the family's 1533-position model. The record is from RNAcentral.
AGAAUCAACGCUGGCGGCGUGCCUCAGACAUGCAAGUCGAACGCGAAAGUCCCCUUCGGGGGACAAGUAGAGUGGCGCACGGGUGAGUAACACGUAGGUAAUCUACCUUCGGAUGGGGAAUAACAAUCGGAAACGGUUGCUAAUACCGCAUAAUGCAGCGGCACCUAAUGGUGACAGUUGUUAAAGCGGGGGAUCGAAAGACCUCGCGUCUGAAGAGGAGCCUGCGGCGGAUUAGCUAGUUGGUAAGUAUGGCUUACCAGGCUACGAUCC